RNAcentral lists this ribosomal RNA (373 nucleotides) under uncultured bacterium. RNAcentral describes it as "bacterial SSU rRNA". It matches the Rfam family "Bacterial small subunit ribosomal RNA", at positions 523 to 898 of the family's 1533-position model. The record is from RNAcentral.
AUACGGGGGAUGCGAGCGUUAUCCGGAUUUAUUGGGUUUAAAGGGUGCGUAGGCUGUUUUAUAAGUCAGGGGUGAAAUUUUAUGGCUCAACCAUAAGCUUGCCUUUGAAACUGUAUUUCUAGAAUAUGUUUGCUGUGAGUAGAAUGUGUGGUGUAGCGGUGAAAUGCAUAGAUAUCACACAGAAUACCUAUUGCGUAGGCAGCUCACAAAGCCAUUAUUGACGCUGAUUCACGAAAGUGUGGGGAUCAAACAGGAUUAGAUACCCUGGUAGUCCACACUGUAAACUAUGAUAACUAGCUGUAGGCGAUAGACUGUCAGUGGCGUAGCGAAAGCGUUAAGUUAUCCACCUGGGGAGUACGACCGCAAGGUUGAA